CAAAUUGAUUCCUUGGUUUGAGUAAUUAUGAUGUAGGAGCAAAGAAUCGAAAGCACUUCUCUUUAAAGAGCUUAAGAGAGUUGGAAAAACUUAAAACUUAUUAAGGCAACAGUUUAUGCACUCAUUGUCAUCAUAAUGGUCUAUAUCAUGGUGAAGUCUGGCCCAUUGGCUCAGUAGAUUGAGAAUGAGUAUGAGAUAAAAGUCUACCUUAGACUUUUCUGAAGGGAC
Molecule: long non-coding RNA, 228 nt
Filed under: Musa acuminata (dwarf banana)
Lineage: Eukaryota; Viridiplantae; Streptophyta; Magnoliopsida; Zingiberales; Musaceae
Description: long non-coding RNA (MACU_LNC000956)
Source: RNAcentral